AAAAGUAUGGCUUAGUUGGUCAGAGCGUUGAACGGUUUCCAAAGAGGCGCGGGUUCAAUUCCCGCUACGUUCA
Molecule: transfer RNA, 73 nt
Filed under: Heliconius melpomene (postman butterfly)
Lineage: Eukaryota; Metazoa; Arthropoda; Insecta; Lepidoptera; Nymphalidae
Description: tRNA HMEL007216
Rfam family: tRNA
About the family: Transfer RNA (tRNA) molecules are approximately 80 nucleotides in length. Their secondary structure includes four short double-helical elements and three loops (D, anti-codon, and T loops).
Source: RNAcentral